This is a long non-coding RNA of Antechinus flavipes (yellow-footed antechinus), 1710 nucleotides long. RefSeq lists it as uncharacterized. The transcript has 3 exons. The record is from RefSeq and is a predicted model, not a curated record. Lineage: Eukaryota; Metazoa; Chordata; Mammalia; Dasyuromorphia; Dasyuridae.
UGAUGCUGUGUUCAAACUAGACCAAAAACUAGGAAAUGACGCCCAGAGGAUUAUGUGGAUCUUGACAUCUAAACAGCUGAUCCUCGCUAAGACCUCUGCAGGGGAGAGCAGUCCAGACCGGAUCAGUAACAGCACACAGUACAAGGGGAGGCUGUCUCUGCUUCCUGAUAAAUCUCUGAUGUUAAGCAAUCUGACAACUGAAGACAGUGGAUGUUAUGAAGCUGAAGUAAAAUCAUCCUUGGGAGGGAUAACUACUCAGAAGUUCAAUUUAACUGUUCUUGGUAAAUGAGCCACUGGGCCCUAUUUGGACCCCUCCCUGCUGUCACCCGCUUGUACACUUUUUAAAGCUUUGUUUCACUCUCCCACCUUCAGAUCUUUGCACAAUCUGUCUUGCCUGACAACUUUGCCCCUUAGAGAGGGAAAGAAGGGUGGAGCUGCUCUUUCUUUAAGUAACAAGAAAGUUGAAGACCGAAAUCUGAAGCCAGAAGGACUGUCACAAGUCACACACUCGUUACACAGCCCAGUGAAUGAAAAGGACUGACUGAAUUACAGACUGAGCUGCCUUGGAGACAUGUGAAAGUUACUGAGCCAGUCAGUCACUCAGUCCUUCCUCACUCUCUCCCUGGGAGUUCUCUGGACUGGAGAGCAAUCCCUAACGGCUAAAGGUGACCCUGAAACAGUGAGGGAGGAACAGUGCCCCUUUCUGCUGGGUGUGUCCUUAAUGAAGGGAGAGAGAAGAGAGGUGGGGAAGAGGGGAUGUACUAGAGGAAGAUGAUUGAUGCCCACUGGGGUUUCUGGUAGAAAUGAAAGAGAAUGGAAAGAACUGGGCAGGGACUGGCACUCUGGAGGACAGACACUGACUACAGUCAUACUUUAUAGCUUCUGUGAUCACUUCUGUAUGUCUGCCUUCUGUUUAAACUAUCCAGGCCCUUUUCUCUCUUUAUUACUCUUCUUUCCUGAAGAUCCUUCUUUACCGAAAUACCAAAAAAAAAAAAAAAAAAACCUCUACAAAGAAUAGAAUCUCUACUAAUUCUUUUUCCAUUUUCUUCUUUGCAUUCCUUGCUUCUUUCACAUACUCCCUUUUUGCAGCCCUCUAUCCCACUUCUUUGUAACAGACUUAUGGCUAAUGAUCCUGAUUUUCUGUUUUAGAGUCUGAGAGUACAGAGCCUACCAUGCAUUAUUUAUGGUUUAUAGUCUUCAUCGUCUUCGUAUUUGUUGUAAUACCAUGUGUUAUCUGCCGAAAACCACAAGGUAUUCAAAGAAGAGGCGAAUUAUAUACAGAGGAGAAUGGACAUUCCCAGAUGGCUUCUCCUCAGACCAAUGAAGAGAGUCUGAGGAUGCUUGAUAGAACAUUGCCAGUCACAACCAUACCAAAGGAUAUAGCAGGAAUGCAGAACGGACUUGGCACACAACAGGAAAACAGCAGAGAUCAGCACAGACAGGAGCUGGGUGUUGAAGAAGGAAACAGCACAGAAUCUAUGGACCAAAGGAGAACAGCACAGAUAGAAGCAGUCUAACAACAUCGAUCAAAGAUGUGGGAUCUUGUAAAAUACGUUUCGAUAUUGAUUGUUUGGUGAAAGAAAUCUUGAAUGAAAUUUAGGACCAAACAAGAAAUAGACAAUGUUGGGAAAUAAAAAAUGGAUAGUUUUUUUUUAAUAUGUAUAUAGCUUUUUAUUGACAGAAUAUAUGCAUGGGUAGUUUUUCAACAUU